CCAGCAUUACCUGUGCAACGGAGGAGUAACACAGUUUCAAAUUUAUGAAACUAGAACGUGGCCUGUGGGAAAUUUUCCGAUUGUCAAACGUGUAAAAUUGUGAGUGGAGGAUGUGCUUCCCUUUGAGGUCUCCUCAAAAUGAACAUUCCCUCCCAUCAGCAAUAUACUUGACAAGGGCUGUGUUAAGAGGACCAACACCAACAGUAACAUGGAUCAACACAAGAUUGCUCUGUUCUUCUCCUGCCCCACAACCAGCUGUCCAGAAACAACAUGAUAACAAGUAAGAGCACAAGCUGUGACUUCACCCAGAGCUAGACUUGCCUCCCAGCUGCAGCAACCCAAUGACUUGCUGUGAAUUGAAGGAGAUGACAGCAUUUAACUGCUCCAAGACAUGAACCACAUCACUCCUGCUUGACAUGCUACCUCAGUUUGAAGCUACUCAACAUGACAACCCAACAGCCUCAGUCUGUCUGAAGAGUUUGGAAAAGAAAUGAGUGUGAAGAUGAGCUUUGAAAAUCUCUCACUUCUACCUACAAAGAUUUUAUCAAAUGUAACUGCCUGGGUUGGGGACUUGGAUAAUAUCUUCCUCAUAAGGAAAUUCCACUAGAACUAAAUAUCUAAAUAACUCAUGGAACUUGUGACACUAUAUUUUCUAUGCACCAAUUGUCACUUUUAAAUUACUCAGUUGAACGUUUAGCUUAUUCAUCCUAUUAAGAUAGAAUGGGAACCAGCCUCCCUUCCUCAACUCUUUCCCCCCUCUAACUGGUCUUC
This is a long non-coding RNA of Panthera uncia (snow leopard), 771 nucleotides long. RefSeq lists it as uncharacterized. Lineage: Eukaryota; Metazoa; Chordata; Mammalia; Carnivora; Felidae. The record is from RefSeq and is a predicted model, not a curated record. The transcript has 4 exons.